AGUGAACGCUGGCGGUAGGCCUAACACAUGCAAGUCGAACGGCAGCACAGUAAGAGCUUGCUCUUACGGGUGGCGAGUGGCGGACGGGUGAGGAAUACAUCGGAAUCUACUUUUUCGUGGGGGAUAACGUAGGGAAACUUACGCUAAUACCGCAUACGACCUACGGGUGAAAGCAGGGGAUCUUCGGACCUUGCGCGAUUGAAUUAGCUGAUGUCGGAUUAGCUAGUUGGCGGGGUAAAGGCCCACCAAGGCAACGAUCCGUAGCUGGUCUGAGAGGAUGAUCAGCCACACUGGAACUGAGACACGGUCCAGACUCCUACGGGAGGCAGCAGUGGGGAAUAUUGGGCAAUGGGCGCAAGCCUGAUCCAGCCAUACCGCGUGGGUGAAGAAGGCCUUCGGGUUGUAAAGCCCUUUUGUUGGGAAAGAAAAGCAGCAGGUUAAUACCCCGCUGUUCUGACGGUACCCAAAGAAUAAGCACCGGCUAACUUCGUG
Molecule: ribosomal RNA, 492 nt
Filed under: uncultured bacterium
Lineage: Bacteria
Description: partial 16S ribosomal RNA
Rfam family: Bacterial small subunit ribosomal RNA
Source: RNAcentral